RNAcentral lists this long non-coding RNA (223 nucleotides) under Lathyrus oleraceus (garden pea). RNAcentral's name for it is "Pisum sativum (pea) long non-coding RNA (PSAT_LNC019869)". The record is from RNAcentral. Lineage: Eukaryota; Viridiplantae; Streptophyta; Magnoliopsida; Fabales; Fabaceae.
AAAAAUCAAUCAUGAAUAGUGCACGAAUUCAUCAAUUAUUACACAUAAUUUUUAUCAUAUAAUCAGAAUUCAUCCACAACAUACACCAUAUUGGAGGUUAAAGACUUCUCUACCUUACCACUCAUGCAUAAGUCCUAUUGAAAAUUAUUCUUCCCCCUUACCGGAUACUCCUAGCAGCAAAAUUCUGAUUUUCGAUGGAACUUCUUUUUCUCCACUCUAAGUC